UUUUUUUUUUUUUAAAGAAACACUUUAAUGGACUUAAUCCGUCAGGUACAUGGAAGAGUGUUAUUUUCCUAGAUUAUUUUGUUUAAAUUAUGGGGGCCUAACCUACAACUUUUUGUUGUUGUUGUUGUUGUCAAUUUUUUUAACCUUUUUUUAAUUACUGUAAAGAAAAAUGAAUUUUUCCUGCAGCAGGAAACAUAUAGUUAUAAGUAGUUCUACCUCUUAUUUCUAGAUGCCAGGCUUUCUGUACAAAAAAAUGUAUUGUACCAUAUAUAAUGUGAUUUUUACAAAGAAAAAACCCACAAAAACAAAACCACACCACCAUAAUCUCCAGGACAUGGCAUAGGGCUGGAUCAGUCUGAUUAACACCUUCUACUCUGAAGCAUCUAUUUUACUUAGGGUUAUGUUAUUUUAUUUUUUUUAAUAAGUAACUGUACUAUGAAGGAGAUGGGAUGUCACUUAAAUCUCUUGUGAUCUAGGAAGAGUCUUAAAUGUAAUGUUGGUAAGCAAAAUAGUGACUGGCUACUGGCGUCAGUGGACAGAUGCUGAUUGUAUUCCUGUUGUUGAUUUCCUACAUGGUGUUGUACAAAUUACUUCUUUGGAAACACAAUGGGGGAUGUGUGCACGUGCGUAUAUGUCUACGCAUGAGAAGACCCCAAAUGCACUUCAGGCACGUUAACAGCAUAAUGGAGGAGAAAGACAGUUGAGGUUGGCCAACUGGGAUGGUCAUCCCAACACUCAUCUUUGCCAGGCUCGGAAACAUCUGCAUCCUCUACGUCACACAUCUGUUCACCAUCAUCUAGAGAAUUUAUCCUAAAUCUUGACUGCAGGGUCCUAGACCCAUCCAUCCAUUCAGCAGGCCCAGGCUUUUGGUUUUAAACCAAGUGAGUAAGUAUCACCAUGGGAGAGAUUAUUUUUCUCUCCCUGUGCAUGUAAAUGUGCAUUUGGGAAGUUGGAAAUUGGAAAUGUCUUCAUCAAGACAUUUUUUGGUGAAAUGUGAGGACUACACACAAGACACUAAAAGCUUCAUGGAAAAAAAAAAGAACAAAGCCCAUCUGUAAGGGCUAAUUCCCCAAUGGAGAAAAAUCCUACCGCAGAGGACAGGUAUGUUGCUGCUUUCUGUUCAAAACUAAAGUCCGUUUUGGUUAAGUAAACAGAAUUUCAUGAUGGUGCUGAAACCUUUUAUGCCAAAUUUUAGCAUUUACUCACUCAUAGUAGACAUGUCAGUGAGGGGAGGUGCAGAAUAGGGCUGUUCUUUUUUUGCCCAGAUGCGCUGUAGAAGCAGCUGGCCACCGUACUGCCCUACAGGCCUUUGGUUGAAGGUUGAGUUGAUGGAGACCAUGGUAGUUUGAGCUUAAUAGAAGGAGGAUGGAGCUGCAGAGGCACCUGCACAGCACAUACACACAUGCACACACAUCCAUACUUUCCCCUAGUCGCUCCCAAGGGGUCUUGGUUCUGGCUUCCAUGAAACAUGAGUUGACUCGUGGAUCAGCAUCCUGGGAACCCAGCCUGAAUCUGCUUUGGGAAGGGUUGGGAAAUGUCAAAAAUAGCCAGAGGAGCAGCUCUGUGAUGCCUUCUUUGGUUAUUUGGAGGACAGAUAACCUGGAAAGCACAGUGCCGGCUUCAACAGAUGGCUUCCAUCCCUUGGUCAACACAAGUCCCUGGCUCCCAAAGGGGAAACAGGUUCCAGCAUCGUCUACAGGCUCUGAGAGUGUGUUGUGUCGUGCCCAGACCUUUGAUUUGUAGAAAUCCCAAUAACUUUAUGGAGAAAAGAUCAAACCAGGUGAAUAGAGCGAAGUGGCUUCCCAUCUGCUGGCACCUGGUGAUGUGUCUCCACAAAAAUGAGGUCUUCCACUUCCGAACCAUGUUAAAUGUACUUGAAAUGUAUUGACUGCUGAUCUAGAUCUCUCUCUGUUUUUUACUUUAUGUUUUUUAUGUUAACCCAAGGGAGCUGUUGUACAGAGCGUUGCUGAAGGGACGGGACAAAGGUUUCUGUAGCUUUCCAUGAAAAACACACACAACUCCGGUGACGGGAGCUAAAAGCGUUUCCUUUCCUGGUGCCUGAUGAUAGCACUUCAUUGGCGGUGGCAUCUCCUUUCUUGGUUAUUCCUUUAAAAAUCAACACCAAACCCAACACCUCGUAGUGGGACUCCCGUGAUGGCCACCAGCUGCGGCCACCUUUGUCCCUGCCCCUGGAGCCCACCCUUCCUUGUCAUCGUGGCCGAUAAAUCUUUGUGGUUUUAUUUUAUUAUAUUUUAUUUUGAAUCAACACGCACUUUCAGAUACUUUUAUUAUUGUUUUAAAUUCUCUGUAUUUGCUUUGGAGGAAAGAAUAAAAAUUAUCGUGUAAAAUGAAGUGGAUCAAGAUGGUGGAACAUAGGAAAAAAAGCAGAAAACAUUUCAAUAUAUUAAAAUGAUUUUUUUUCCCCAGUAAUAUAAAACAUGAAAUUCCUUAUAACAUUAUAGUGUUUUACAGUUUUAUGAAGCUUUCUAUUGUGACUUUUAUGGAAUCAAAAGAUGAAGAUGAUGAGAUAUUUUAGCAUUUCUAUUUUUCAAAAUUAAAUGUAUACUGAAAAUAAAGUAACUUUAUGCAUUUA
Strigops habroptila (Kakapo) is the source of this 2593-nucleotide long non-coding RNA. The record is from Ensembl. Lineage: Eukaryota; Metazoa; Chordata; Aves; Psittaciformes; Psittacidae.